Non-coding RNA from Populus trichocarpa (black cottonwood), 149 nucleotides. Lineage: Eukaryota; Viridiplantae; Streptophyta; Magnoliopsida; Malpighiales; Salicaceae. The record is from Rfam.
UAAUCCAUUGACAGCACAUCAUCUUCUAGUUAUGAUAGAUCCCCGUUUGAUGCUUAGAACCUUUCUUUUUUUCUAGCCCGGCUACAUCAAUGAUGUUGUGUGGAAAAGUAAGAAGCACGUGCGCCACAAGGGUUGCUGACAUUUCGAAA